AAUAGACUACCCUGGUAGUCCACGCCGUAAACGAUGGAUACUAGCUGUUUGAGGCGCAAGUUUGAGUGGCUAAGCGAAAGUGAUAAGUAUCCCACCUGGGGAGUACGGGCGCAAGCCUGAAACUCAAAGGAAUUGACGGGGGGCCCGCACAAGCGGUGGAGCAUGUGGUUUAAUUCGAUGAUACGCGAGGAACCUUACCAGGGCUUAAAUGUAGAUUGACGUAUUUGGAAACAGAUAUUUCUUCGGACAAUUUACAAGGUGCUGCAUGGUUGUCGUCAGCUCGUACCGUGAGGUGUCAGGUUAAGUCCUAUAACGAGCGCAACCCCUGUUGUUAGUUGCCAGCGAGUAAUGUCGGGAACUCUAGCAAGACUGCCAGUGUAAACUGUGAGGAAGGUGGGGAUGACGUCAAAUCAUCACGGCCCUUACGUCCUGGGCCACACACGUGCUACAAUGGCCGGUACAGAGAGCAGCCACUUAGCGAUAAGGAGCGAAUCUAUAAAGCCGGUCACAGUUCGGAUCGGAGUCUGCAACC
This 532-nucleotide ribosomal RNA is filed under the name uncultured bacterium. RNAcentral describes it as "bacterial SSU rRNA". It matches the Rfam family "Bacterial small subunit ribosomal RNA", at positions 777 to 1312 of the family's 1533-position model. The record is from RNAcentral.